GAUGAACGCUGGCGGGGGUGCUUAAUACAUGCAAGUCGAGCGAAUGGAUUAAGAGCUUGCUCUUAUGAAGUUAGCGGCGGACGGGUGAGUAACACGUGGGUAACCUGCCCAUAAGACUGGGAUAACUCCGGGAAACCGGGGCUAAUACCGGAUAACAUUUUGAACCGCAUGGUUCGAAAUUGAAAGGCGGCUUCGGCUGUCACUUAUGGAUGGACCCGCGUCGCAUUAGCUAGUUGGUG
This 239-nucleotide ribosomal RNA is filed under the name Bacillus sp. E1HC-01. RNAcentral's name for it is "partial 16S ribosomal RNA". It matches the Rfam family "Bacterial small subunit ribosomal RNA", at positions 28 to 254 of the family's 1533-position model. Lineage: Bacteria; Bacillati; Bacillota; Bacilli; Caryophanales; Bacillaceae. The record is from RNAcentral.